RNAcentral lists this ribosomal RNA (484 nucleotides) under uncultured bacterium. RNAcentral's name for it is "partial 16S ribosomal RNA". It matches the Rfam family "Bacterial small subunit ribosomal RNA", at positions 30 to 507 of the family's 1533-position model. The record is from RNAcentral.
AUUGAACGCUGGCGGCAGGCCUAACACAUGCAAGUCGAGCGGAUGAAGGGAGCUUGCUCCUGGAUCCAGCGGCGGACGGGGGAGUAAUGCCUAGGAAUCUGCCUGGUAGUGGGGGAUAACGUCCGGAAACGGGCGCUAAUACCGCAUACGACCUGAGGGAGAAAGUGGGGGAUCGUCGGAACUCUCGCUAUCAGAUGAGUCUAGGUCGGAUUAGCUAGUUGGUGGGGUAAGGGCCUACUAAGGCGACGAUCCGUAACUGGACUGAGAGGCUGAUCAGUCACACUGGAGCUGAGACACGGUCCAGACUCCUGCGAGAGGCAGCAGUGGGCAAUAUUGGGCAACAGGCGAAAGCCUGAUCCAGCCAGGCCGCGUGUGUGAAGAAGGUCUUCGGAUUGUAAAGCACUUUAAGUUGGGAGGAAGGGCAGUAAGUUAAUACCUUGCUGUUUUGACGUUACCAACAGAAUAAGCACCGGCUAACUUCGUG